RNAcentral lists this ribosomal RNA (290 nucleotides) under bacterium E-2-48-6C. RNAcentral's name for it is "partial 16S ribosomal RNA". It matches the Rfam family "Bacterial small subunit ribosomal RNA", at positions 386 to 667 of the family's 1533-position model. The record is from RNAcentral.
AUCCAGCCAUGCCGCGUGUGUGAAGAAGGUCUUCGGAUUGUAAAGCACUUUAAGUUGGGAGGAAGGGCUUACGGUUAAUACCCGCUAAGUUUUGACGUUACCAACAGAAUAAGCACCGGCUAACUUCGUGCCAGCAGCCGCGGUAAUACGAAGGGUGCAAGCGUUAAUCGGAAUUACUGGGCGUAAAGCGCGCGUAGGUGGUUUGUUAAGUUGGAAGUGAAAGCCCCGGGCUCAACCUGGGAAUUGCUUUCAAAACUAGCAGGCUAGAGUACAGUAGAGGGUAGUGGAAU